AGUGAACGCUGGCGGUAGGCCUAACACAUGCAAGUCGAACGGCAGCACAGUAAGAGCUUGCUCUUACGGGUGGCGAGUGGCGGACGGGUGAGGAAUACAUCGGAAUCUACUUUUUCGUGGGGGAUGACGUAGGGAAACUUACGCUAAUACCGCAUACGACCUACGGGUGAAAGCAGGGGAUCUUCGGACCUUGCGCGAGUGAAUGAGCCGAUGUCGGAUUAGCUAGUUGGCGGGGUAAAGGCCCACCAAGGCGACGAUCCGUAGCUGGUCUGAGAGGAUGAUCAGCCACACUGGAACUGAGACACGGUCCAGACUCCUACGGGAGGCAGCAGUGGGGAAUAUUGGACAAUGGGCGCAAGCCUGAUCCAGCCAUACCGCGUGGGUGAAGAAGGCCUUCGGGUUGUAAAGCCCUUUUGUUGGGAAAGAAAAGCAGCAGGUUAAUACCCCGCUGUUCUGACGGUACCCAAAGAAUAAGCACCGGCUAACUUCGUG
This 492-nucleotide ribosomal RNA is filed under the name uncultured bacterium. Its description in RNAcentral is "partial 16S ribosomal RNA". It matches the Rfam family "Bacterial small subunit ribosomal RNA", at positions 29 to 507 of the family's 1533-position model. The record is from RNAcentral.